RNAcentral lists this ribosomal RNA (253 nucleotides) under uncultured bacterium. RNAcentral's name for it is "partial 16S ribosomal RNA". It matches the Rfam family "Bacterial small subunit ribosomal RNA", at positions 524 to 776 of the family's 1533-position model. The record is from RNAcentral.
UACGUAGGGUGCGAGCGUUAAUCGGAAUUACUGGGCGUAAAGUGUGCGCAGGCGGCCGCGCAAGUCGAGUGUGAAAGCCCCGGGCUUAACUUGGGAAUUGCGCUCGAAACUACGUGGCUGGAGUGUGGCAGAGGAAGGUGGAAUUCCAGGUGUAGCGGUGAAAUGCGUAGAUAUCUGGAGGAACACCGGUGGCGAAGGCGGCAUCCUGGACCGGUAUUGACGCUGAGGAGCGAAAGCCAGGGGAGCAAACGGG